UGGCGAACGGGUGAGUAACGCGUGAGUAACCUGCCCUAGAGUGGGGGACAACAGUUGGAAACGACUGCUAAUACCGCAUAAGCCCACGGAUCCGCAUGGAUCUGCGGGAAAAGGAUUUAUUCGCUUUAGGAUGGACUCGCGUCCAAUUAGCUAGUUGGUGAGGUAACGGCCCACCAAGGCGACGAUUGGUAGCCGGACUGAGAGGUUGAACGGCCACAUUGGGACUGAGACACGGCCCAG
This 240-nucleotide ribosomal RNA is filed under the name uncultured bacterium. Its description in RNAcentral is "partial 16S ribosomal RNA". It matches the Rfam family "Bacterial small subunit ribosomal RNA", at positions 96 to 334 of the family's 1533-position model. The record is from RNAcentral.